UCUGAUGCAGCGACGCCGCGUGAGCGACGAUGGCUUUCGAGUUCUUAAGCUCUGUCCUAAGAGAAGAAGAAGUGACGGUCACUUAUGAGGAAGCCCCGGCUAACUACAUGCCAGCAGCCGCGGUAAUA
Molecule: ribosomal RNA, 128 nt
Filed under: uncultured bacterium
Lineage: Bacteria
Description: partial 16S ribosomal RNA
Rfam family: Bacterial small subunit ribosomal RNA
Source: RNAcentral